UAGGGAAUCUUCCGCAAUGGGCGAAAGCCUGACGGAGCAACGCCGCGUGAGUGAUGAAGGUCUUCGGAUCGUAAAACUCUGUUAUUAGGGAAGAACAAAUGUGUAAGUAACUAUGCACGUCUUGACGGUACCUAAUCAGAAAGCCACGGCUAACUACGUGCCAGCAGCCGCGGUAAUACGUAGGUGGCAAGCGUUAUCCGGAAUUAUUGGGCGUAAAGCGCGCGUAGGCGGUUUUUUAAGUCUGAUGUGAAAGCCCACGGCUCCACCGUGGAGGGUCAUUUGAAACUGUAGAACUUGAGUGCAGAAGAGGAAAGUGGAAUUCCAUGUGUAGCGGUGAAAUGCGCAGAGAUAUGGAGGAACACCAGUGGCGAAGGCGACUUUCUGGUCUGUAACUGACGCUGAUGUGCGAAAGCGUGGGGAUCAAACAGG
RNAcentral lists this ribosomal RNA (429 nucleotides) under Actinomycetes bacterium. RNAcentral describes it as "Actinobacteria bacterium partial 16S ribosomal RNA". It matches the Rfam family "Bacterial small subunit ribosomal RNA", at positions 355 to 776 of the family's 1533-position model. Lineage: Bacteria; Bacillati; Actinomycetota; Actinomycetes. The record is from RNAcentral.